GAUGAACGCUGGCGGCGUGCCUAAUACAUGCCAGUCGAGCGAACGGACGAGAAGCUUGCUUCUCUGAUGUUAGCGGCGGACGGGUGAGUAACACGUGGAUAACCUACCUAUAAGACUGGGAUAACUUCGGGAAACCGUAGCUAAUACCGGAUAAUAUUUUGAACCGCAUGGUUCAAAAGUGAAAGACGGUCUUGCUGUCACUUAUAGAUGGAUCCGCGCUGCAUUAGCUAGUUGGUAAGGUAACGGCUUACCAAGGCAACGAUGCAUAGCCGACCUGAGAGGGGGAUCGGCCACACUGGAACUGAGACACGGUCCAGACUCCUACGGGAGGCAGCAGUAGGGAAUCUUCCGCAAUGGGCGAAAGCCUGACGGAGCAACGCCGCGUGAGUGAUGAAGGUCUUCGGAUCGUAAAACUCUGUUAUUAGGGAAGAACAUAUGUGUAAGUAACUGUGCACAUCUUGACGGUACCUAAUCAGAAAGCCACGGCUAACUACGU
This 496-nucleotide ribosomal RNA is filed under the name uncultured bacterium. Its description in RNAcentral is "partial 16S ribosomal RNA". It matches the Rfam family "Bacterial small subunit ribosomal RNA", at positions 28 to 506 of the family's 1533-position model. The record is from RNAcentral.